AUUGAACGCUGGCGGCAGGCCUAACACAUGCAGGUCGAACGGUAACAGGAAGCAGCUUGCUGCUUUGCUGACGAGUGGCGGACGGGUGAGUAAUGUCUGGGAAACUGCCUGAUGGAGGGGGAUAACUACUGGAAACGGUAGCUAAUACCGCAUAACGUCGCAAGACCAAAGAGGGGGACCUUCGGGCCUCUUGCCAUCGGAUGUGCCCAGAUGGGAUUAGCUAGUAGGUGGGGUAACGGCUCACCUAGGCGACGAUCCCUAGCUGGUCUGAGAGGAUGACCAGCCACACUGGAACUGAGACACGGUCCAGACUCCUACGGGAGGCAGCAGUGGGGAAUAUUGCACAGUGGGCGCAAGCCUGAUGCAGCCAUGCCGCGUGUAUGAAGAAGGCCUUCGGGUUGUAAAGUACUUUCAGCGGGGAGGAAGGGAGUAAAGUUAAUACCUUUGCUCAUUGACGUUACCCGCAGAAGAAGCACCGGCUAACUCCGUG
RNAcentral lists this ribosomal RNA (490 nucleotides) under uncultured bacterium. RNAcentral's name for it is "partial 16S ribosomal RNA". It matches the Rfam family "Bacterial small subunit ribosomal RNA", at positions 30 to 507 of the family's 1533-position model. The record is from RNAcentral.